RNAcentral lists this ribosomal RNA (254 nucleotides) under uncultured bacterium. RNAcentral's name for it is "partial 16S ribosomal RNA". It matches the Rfam family "Bacterial small subunit ribosomal RNA", at positions 524 to 776 of the family's 1533-position model. The record is from RNAcentral.
UACGUAGGGUGCAAGCGUUGUCCGGAAUUAUUGGGCGUAAAGAGCUCGUAGGCGGUGUGUCACGUCGGCCGUGAAAACCUGCAGCUUAACUGUGGGCGUGCGGUCGAUACGGGCAUCACUGGAGUUCGGCAGGGGAGACUGGAAUUCCUGGUGUAGCGGUGAAAUGCGCAGAUAUCAGGAGGAACACCAAUAGCGAAGGCAGCUCGCUGGGACGUUACUGACACUGAGGCGCGAAAGCGUGGGGAGCGAACAGG